AAGCCAGCACCUCAAGUGGUCAGGAGGAUUAUUGGGCCUAAAGCAUCCGUAGCCUGUUCUAUAAGUUUCCGGUUAAAUCCAUUAGCUCAACUAAUGGGCCGCCGAAAAUACUGUGGAACUAGGGAGUGGGAGAGGUAGACGGUACUCGGUAGGAAGGGGUAAAAUCCUUUGAUCUAUUGAUGACCACCUGUGGCGAAGGCGGUCUACCAGAACACGUUCGACGGUGAGGGAUGAAAGCUGGGGGAGCAAACCGGAUUAGAAACCCGAGUAGUCC
RNAcentral lists this ribosomal RNA (274 nucleotides) under uncultured bacterium. RNAcentral describes it as "partial 16S ribosomal RNA". It matches the Rfam family "Archaeal small subunit ribosomal RNA", at positions 473 to 747 of the family's 1478-position model. The record is from RNAcentral.